Long non-coding RNA from Uranotaenia lowii, 428 nucleotides. RefSeq lists it as uncharacterized. Lineage: Eukaryota; Metazoa; Arthropoda; Insecta; Diptera; Culicidae. The record is from RefSeq and is a predicted model, not a curated record. The transcript has 3 exons.
CUUGGACCUUUAAUCGUACCUUCCGGCGAUGUCCACAGAAGUACUGGUAGCUGCAACGAAUGGAAAUGGUCCCAGGUUAUCGAAAGUCGGAUUCGAUAUCCCGCGUUAUCGGUCUUCUUCAAUAGAAAACAUGGGGGACCGCCAUUCGUUCUACCAAAAGUACCUAAACCCAACGGCAGCGGACGGAAGAAGAAAUGAUUAUUCUCAAGGAAACAGUUGGCCACUGUUUCACGUUUAACAGUUGAUGGGACUGAAAAUGAAAGAGCGAGAAUUUCCUGCAUACCGAAGAAGUUUCCUGGAUUCGGCUACUCGGCUCAAGUUGAUUUCAACCUCCACAAAGCGGAGGCAGAAGAUUCUCAAACAUAAUGGAGUUUAUCGUCUACAUCCAAAGAAUCAAGCGUGAGAAGGCUACAACGGACCGAAAAUCU